This 504-nucleotide ribosomal RNA is filed under the name Bacillus pumilus. Its description in RNAcentral is "bacterial SSU rRNA". It matches the Rfam family "Bacterial small subunit ribosomal RNA", at positions 8 to 495 of the family's 1533-position model. Lineage: Bacteria; Bacillati; Bacillota; Bacilli; Caryophanales; Bacillaceae. The record is from RNAcentral.
AGAGUUUGAUCCUGGCUCAGGACCGAACGCUGGCGGCGUGCCUAAUACAUGCAAGUCGAGCGGACAGAAGGGAGCUUGCUCCCGGAUGUUAGCGGCGGACGGGUGAGUAACACGUGGGUAACCUGCCUGUAAGACUGGGAUAACUCCGGGAAACCGGAGCUAAUACCGGAUAGUUCCUUGAACCGCAUGGUUCAAGGAUGAAAGACGGUUUCGGCUGUCACUUACAGAUGGACCCGCGGCGCAUUAGCUAGUUGGUGGGGUAAUGGCUCACCAAGGCGACGAUGCGUAGCCGACCUGAGAGGGUGAUCGGCCACACUGGGACUGAGACACGGCCCAGACUCCUACGGGAGGCAGCAGUAGGGAAUCUUCCGCAAUGGACGAAAGUCUGACGGAGCAACGCCGCGUGAGUGAUGAAGGUUUUCGGAUCGUAAAGCUCUGUUGUUAGGGAAGAACAAGUGCGAGAGUAACUGCUCGCACCUUGACGUACCUAACCAGAAAGCCACG